This 253-nucleotide ribosomal RNA is filed under the name uncultured bacterium. RNAcentral describes it as "partial 16S ribosomal RNA". It matches the Rfam family "Bacterial small subunit ribosomal RNA", at positions 524 to 776 of the family's 1533-position model. The record is from RNAcentral.
UACGGAGGGGGCUAGCGUUGUUCGGAAUUACUGGGCGUAAAGCGCACGUAGGCGGCUUUGCAAGUCAGAGGUGAAAGCCCGGGGCUCAACCCCGGAAUUGCCUUUGAGACUGCAUCGCUAGAAUUGUGGAGAGGUAAGUGGAAUUCCGAGUGUAGAGGUGAAAUUCGUAGAUAUUGGGAAGAACACCGGUGGCGAAGGCGGCUCUCUGGACCGUAACUGACGCUGAGGCGCGAAAGCGUGGGGAGCAAACAGG